GUGUCAGCCGCCGCGGUAACACGUAGGGGCCAAGCGUUGUCCGGAUUUAUUGGGCGUAAAGAGCUCGUAGGCGGUUCGACAAGUCGGGUGUGAAAACUCCGGGCUCAACCCGGAGACGCCACCCGAUACUGUCGUGACUGGAGUCCGGUAGGGGAGUGGGGAAUUCCUGGUGUAGCGGUGAAAUGCGCAGAUAUCAGGAGGAACACCGGUGGCGAAGGCGCCACUCUGGGCCGGUACUGACGCUGAGGAGCGAAAGCGUGGGUAGCAAACAGGAGGAUAUACCAGGGGAUUAC
Molecule: ribosomal RNA, 293 nt
Filed under: uncultured bacterium
Lineage: Bacteria
Description: partial 16S ribosomal RNA
Rfam family: Bacterial small subunit ribosomal RNA
Source: RNAcentral